Molecule: ribosomal RNA, 460 nt
Filed under: uncultured bacterium
Lineage: Bacteria
Description: partial 16S ribosomal RNA
Rfam family: Bacterial small subunit ribosomal RNA
Source: RNAcentral
CCUACGGGAGGCUGCAGUGAGGAAUAUUGGUCAAUGGACGAGAGUCUGAACCAGCCAAGUAGCGUGAAGGAUGACUGCCCUAUGGGUUGUAAACUUCUUUUAUAAAGGAAUAAAACGAGGCACGUGUGCCUUUUUGCAGGUACUUUAUGAAUAAGGAUCGGCUAACUCCGUGCCAGCAGCCGCGGUAAUACGGAGGAUGCGAGCGUUAUCCGGAUUUAUUGGGUUUAAAGGGAGCGUAGAUGGGUGUUUAAGUCAGUGGUGAAAGUUUGCGGCUCAACCGUAAAAUUGCAAUUGAUACUGGGAGUCUUGAGUACAGUUGAGGUAGGCGGAAUUCGUGGUGUAGCGGUGAAAUGCUUAGAUAUCACGAAGAACCCCGAUGGCGAAGGCAGCUUACUAAACUGUUACUGACAUUGAGGCGCGAAAGUGUGGGUAUCAAACAGGAUUAGAUACCCUUGUAGUC